AUUAUUGGGCGUAAAGGGCUCGCAGGCGGUUUCUUAAGUCUGAUGUGAAAGCCCCCGGCUCAACCGGGGAGGGUCAUUGGAAACUGGGAAACUUGAGUGCAGAAGAGGAGAGUGGAAUUCCACGUGUAGCGGUGAAAUGCGUAGAGAUGUGGAGGAACACCAGUGGCGAAGGCGACUCUCUGGUCUGUAACUGACGCUGAGGAGCGAAAGCGUGGGGAGCGAACAGGAUUAGAUACCCUGGUAGUCCACGCCGUAAACGAUGAGUGCUAAGUGUUAGGGGGUUUCCGCCCCUUAGUGCUGCAGCUAACGCAUUAAGCACUCCGCCUGGGGAGUACGGUCGCAAGACUGAAACUCAAAGGAAUUGACGGGGGCCCGCACAAGCGGUGGAGCAUGUGGUUUAAUUCGAAGCAACGCGAAGAACCUUACCAGGUCUUGACAUCCUCUGACAACCCUAGAGAUAGGGCUUUCCCUUCGGGGACAGAGUGACAGGUGGUGCAUGGUUGUCGUCAGCUCGUGUCGUGAGAUGUUGGGUUAAGUCCCGCAACGAGCGCAACCCUUGAUCUUAGUUGCCAGCAUUCAGUUGGGCACUCUAAGGUGACUGCCGGUGACAAACCGGAGGAAGGUGGGGAUGACGUCAAAUCAUCAUGCCCCUUAUGACCUGGGCUACACACGUGCUACAAUGGACAGAACAAAGGGCUGCAAGACCGCAAGGUUUAGCCAAUCCCAUAAAUCUGUUCUCAGUUCGGAUCGCAGUCUGCAACUCGACUGCGUGAAGCUGGAAUCGCUAGUAAUCGCGGAUC
RNAcentral lists this ribosomal RNA (800 nucleotides) under Bacillus sp. OS4. RNAcentral describes it as "bacterial SSU rRNA". It matches the Rfam family "Bacterial small subunit ribosomal RNA", at positions 550 to 1350 of the family's 1533-position model. Lineage: Bacteria; Bacillati; Bacillota; Bacilli; Caryophanales; Bacillaceae. The record is from RNAcentral.